Molecule: long non-coding RNA, 2264 nt
Organism: Betta splendens (Siamese fighting fish)
Lineage: Eukaryota; Metazoa; Chordata; Actinopteri; Anabantiformes; Osphronemidae
Exons: 2
Source: RefSeq, a predicted model, not a curated record
GAAGCAUAUUGUAAAUUGAGAAUAAUAAUAACUUUACUCAGACUGGAGGUUCCUGCACGUUUGGUAAUGUUUCUACUUUAAGAAAAGUCUGAGUUAAAUCGCAACUGUGGCAACAAUUUCAUUCCUCAAACAUAAAACUCACACCAGUUUCACACUGAAGCCUUAGGAUUCAUUAAGUGAAGUUAUUUUUGUGAUAAGCUGUAACAAGCCUGUUAGGCAAGGGUGCAAAUCAGCUCCACUACAACUGAUUGAGCUGAUCUCUGGCGGUUCCUGCCUUUGGAGCACCGUCUUUAUGACAACGGCGCAGCUGCAGUAGAUGAGUGAUUGGGCUCAGAACCAGUUUGAUUGAGAAGUCAAACUCUUAAUGCUCAGUGUCCAUAACACCUCUGUGUAUAUUACUGAUGAGUAAAUUAUAUUAAUGCAAAUUUAUAGCACAAUGCCUUGUGGGUAAUGCACUAUAACAGAAACUGGUGUAAAUAGGACUGACCCUUGUAAUGAUUGCUGAAUGACUUUUGCAUUAGACUCUUCAUAUUUAUGUCAGAGUUGCACCUUAAAAUCUGUUGUAAAUAUCAGCUUUUUGUUCAAUAACAAUAUUAUAAGUAAGUAAUUAAGUAUUUUAAAUAAGUAUCUUUUUUAUAUCAGAGAAGGCUCAUCAGCUUUGUCCUUAAAGAUAGAUUUUGUAAUAAAAUAUUAACAUUUGCUUUUGGUUUAAAUAUUUGAAUAUGUUUUAAAAUUUAAGUCUUACCUUAAAGGACACAUAUCAUACUUUUCAUUCUAAAAAAUAUUAGACUUUAAUGUCUCAGUAAGGUCUCUGUAAAUUUUCGUCCCAUAAAACCCUUUAGAUCGUCCACACUGCCCCUCUCAAUAUGUGGUUCUCACUCCCCAUCAGCAAACGUUGUGUUUUCUGGGCGUGUCGCAAGCGAAGCUGCUCGCCACACCUCUGUGCGGAAGCGCAUACCUUUUUUGUUGUUGUUUUUUUUUUUUAAUUGGCUCCAUGGAUACGAGCCACCGCACGGUUACGAUAAAAUAGGUGGCAGUAGUGCGACAUUGAGAACACAAUCCUCCACAGAAGAAGACCCGCUACAGGACUGCACGACAUUAGCCAGCCAGCUGGUUCGUAGCGUAGUAGAACCAUACGUCUACGAUCCCGAAUCUGACCCUGAAGCUGAAGAGGAGGCUGUUGAAGUUGCCACAUUUCGGCUGAUGCAAGAUGUGUCUCAUUGUUGUUACAGGUAUCUAGUCUACAGAGGCUAGUGAGCUGGUGCUGAGGAUUCCUAGGGUGAAGAAUCUGAGUUGCCAUCUCUUCAUGCUUGGGUUGUAGAUGAAGGCAGAGUCUCCUGAUGGAUAAAACACUAAAACACUCAUUGUAUGAUGGAUGUAAACCACCUGUGGAAUAACUCCUUUACCAUUUGAGUAAAAAUGUGUUUUUUGUGAGUGCAAUACUACUACAAUUAAGAAUUUUUUUUUAAUUUAUAUAUAAUUUAUAUGCUUUUUAUUUAUGGCCGCUUCAACUUUAUAGCUUACCAUAUUCUAGAAAGAGAAAAAACAUGUAAUUUCAAUACUAUGAUUUCCUGAAUAAAAGUGUUUUCCCUUCAGAAACAGAGUUCAGUGAAAUACAUAAUAGUUAAAGCCAACUUUAUUGUAAACCAAAAAAAUACACCACUACUCCAAAGCUAGAACAAACUGUUACCUUCACACUCCAAUGUGCAAUGUAUAGGUUACUGAGUUAAUUAAGAAGUCUGGGGGUUUGAGGACAGAAGCUUUUGCAGGGCCUUGCAGACGAAAUGCAUGAAAGUAGGGUAAACAGGGAGAUGUGGUGAUCCUUGUUCUCAUCACUAUUUGGAAGACUGAGCGGAAGCAGUCCUCUACCAGAUGGAAGCUGUGGCUGUCCUCACCAUCACCUCAUCAAAACAAAAGUUACUGCAACCAGAAUUGUAGAUUAGUGAAAUGUUCAUUAUUAUGUAGGUCAAAACCUUCUCUAAUGUAAGAACACACAAUACCAGAAAAAAAUUAAACCAAACAAGAGGACAGGCCUGUCUGUGCUAAAACAACAGAUAAACAGUUGUUACAAUUCAAAUAUAAAAUCUAAACAAUAUAUACCAAUUAAAAUCUUCUAUUACCUAUCUUACUGUUGGUACAUACAAACUUACAUACAUUCACUCCUGAGCUGGGCAGCAGAUGUCCGUGUACCAACAGUCUGCAGUGAUUUCACUGUUUGACAGCCUCCUUGCAUGUGGGCAACUGGGAUUUGCCCUCCUACAGUA